ACCUCAUACCCCCCUUGAACCCUNNAUUUCUAUUAAGUAAUUUUAUACUCUUAUAAAAGUCUNNAUGCUAAAACUAGUAACAAGAAAUAGAANUUCUCCCUAAUNNAACCUUAAACCAAAACGGACCAACCAUUGGAAAUUAACGCUAAUAAACCUACAAUAACAACGCAUGCAAGAGAACAUUAUUACAAACUCACGUUAACCUUACACAAGAAUAUUUCGGGAAAGAUUAAAAGAAAGGAAAGGAACUCGGCAAACUUUAGCCCCGCCUGUUUACCAAAAACACUGCCUUUUGACAAAACAUAAAAGGUCCAGCCUGCCCAGUGAAGCACUUAAACGGCCGCGGUACCCUGACCGUGCAAAGGUAGCAUAAUCAUUCGUUCUUUAAAUAAGGACUUGUAUCAACGGCAUCACGAGGGCUAUACUGUCUCCCCUCUCUAAUCAGUGAAACUGACCUCCCCGUGAAGAGGCGGGGAUAAUUAUACAAGACGAGAAGACCCCAUGGAGCUUUAAACCCAAUAAUACCCUCUACCCAACAUUUACUAUAAAAUUUUAGAGGCCCUAUCUAUUGGUUUUAGGUUUUUUCGACCACGGAGUAAAAUAAACCCUCCUUGACGAACGGUUUAACCCUAAUCCAAGAGCCACCGCUCUAAGAAUCAAAAAUUUGACGUAACAUGAUCCGACACCCGAUCAACGAACCAAGUUACCCUGGGGAUAACAGCGCAAUCCAUUUUAAGAGCCCCUAUCGACAAAUGGGUUUACGACCUCGAUGUUGGA
This 777-nucleotide ribosomal RNA is filed under the name Limnonectes blythii (giant mountain frog). Its description in RNAcentral is "partial 16S ribosomal RNA". It matches the Rfam family "Bacterial large subunit ribosomal RNA", at positions 1541 to 2536 of the family's 2925-position model. Lineage: Eukaryota; Metazoa; Chordata; Amphibia; Anura; Dicroglossidae. The record is from RNAcentral.